GCUGAUGUCCAAGAAUAGGAGAAAAUAAAUGGAGAAAAGAAGGAGAGAAUAAAUUCAUUCUUCCUCUACCUUCUUGCUUUAUUCUGGCCCUCAACAAUUGGAUGACACCCACCCACAUCAAAGACUAACUUGAUACGGUUCAGCUGACCUGUAAGGGCCUAGAAUCACCAAAUCCUAGAGUUGCAGGGACUUCAAAAUCCAUGCCAGAGAUAGUCUCCUGUGUUACUCCUGUGUUGUCAGCGGCUACCUGGUAACACCCAGCUGGAACCUGCCCGUGUCUAGCACCUCACUGAGCUCAUGUUAUACAGCCCUCUCACUAUGAGGCCCGGACAGGCAGGCCCAUGCACAGAAAAAAGUGAGCAAAUGCAAAUAAGACAAAGAAGCUAAGAUUGCCCACCAUGCAGAGCUCAGAGGUAGCUGCUAUUAACAUCCCUCCACAUCCUUUUCUUUUCAAGUUUAUACAGUAACAA
Lutra lutra (Eurasian river otter) is the source of this 470-nucleotide long non-coding RNA. RefSeq lists it as uncharacterized. The transcript has 3 exons. Lineage: Eukaryota; Metazoa; Chordata; Mammalia; Carnivora; Mustelidae. The record is from RefSeq and is a predicted model, not a curated record.